This 788-nucleotide ribosomal RNA is filed under the name uncultured Lactobacillus sp. RNAcentral describes it as "bacterial SSU rRNA". It matches the Rfam family "Bacterial small subunit ribosomal RNA", at positions 28 to 776 of the family's 1533-position model. Lineage: Bacteria; Bacillati; Bacillota; Bacilli; Lactobacillales; Lactobacillaceae. The record is from RNAcentral.
GACGAACGCUGGCGGCGUGCCUAAUACAUGCAAGUCGAGCGAGCUUGCCUAGAUGAAUUUGGUGCUUGCACCAGAUGAAACUAGAUACAAGCGAGCGGCGGACGGGUGAGUAACACGUGGGUAACCUGCCCAAGAGACUGGGAUAACACCUGGAAACAGAUGCUAAUACCGGAUAACAACACUAGACGCAUGUCUAGAGUUUAAAAGAUGGUUCUGCUAUCACUCUUGGAUGGACCUGCGGUGCAUUAGCUAGUUGGUAAGGUAACGGCUUACCAAGGCAAUGAUGCAUAGCCGAGUUGAGAGACUGAUCGCCCACAUUGGGACUGAGACACGGCCCAAACUCCUACGGGAGGCAGCAGUAGGGAAUCUUCCACAAUGGACGCAAGUCUGAUGGAGCAACGCCGCGUGAGUGAAGAAGGGUUUCGGCUCGUAAAGCUCUGUUGGUAGUGAAGAAAGAUAGAGGUAGUAACUGGCCUUUAUUUGACGGUAAUUACUUAGAAAGUCACGGCUAACUACGUGCCAGCAGCCGCGGUAAUACGUAGGUGGCAAGCGUUGUCCGGAUUUAUUGGGCGUAAAGCGAGUGCAGGCGGUUCAAUAAGUCUGAUGUGAAAGCCUUCGGCUCAACCGGAGAAUUGCAUCAGAAACUGUUGAACUUGAGUGCAGAAGAGGAGAGUGGAACUCCAUGUGUAGCGGUGGAAUGCGUAGAUAUAUGGAAGAACACCAGUGGCGAAGGCGACUCUCUGAUCUGUAACUGACGCUGAGGCUCGAAAGCGUGGGUAGCAAACAGG